UGCACCAUCUCGGGGGAAGGAGGUUAUCGGGACUGGCUUCCCUUUUGUUCUGGUCCUGGAGCUCCGCGCGUUGGUUGUUCUCUAAUUGGUGCGAUUUCAGUUGGCAAUUUCCUAUGCUUUUUACUAUGGAAGAUGGCAGCAAGGUGAUCCAGAUACCCACAAGCC
Long non-coding RNA from Hordeum vulgare subsp. vulgare (domesticated barley), 165 nucleotides. RefSeq lists it as uncharacterized. The transcript is spliced from 4 exons. The record is from RefSeq and is a predicted model, not a curated record. Lineage: Eukaryota; Viridiplantae; Streptophyta; Magnoliopsida; Poales; Poaceae.